This is a non-coding RNA of Oryctolagus cuniculus (rabbit), 2985 nucleotides long. Lineage: Eukaryota; Metazoa; Chordata; Mammalia; Lagomorpha; Leporidae. The record is from RefSeq and is a predicted model, not a curated record.
UAUGAUGCAUGCUCUUUUUCAUGUAGUGUUGGAUUCGGUUUGCAAAUAUUUUAUUGAGAAUCUUUGCAGCUAUGUUCAUCAACUAUUUUGGUCUGUAGUUUUCUUUUUGUGUUUUGUCUUUGUUUCAUUUUGGUGUCAGAGUACUGCUGACCUCAUAAAAAGAGUUUGGCAAAGUUCCAUUCUUUUCAAUCUUUUGGAAUAGUUUGAAGAGUUAGUUCCUCUUUUAAAAUGUUUCGUAGAAUUCAGUUGUAAAGCCAUAAGGUCCUGAACUUUUCUUUGAUGUGAGACUUUUAAAUACUGCUUCAAUGUCAUUACUUGUUAUAGGUUUGCUUAGAUUUUAUGUAUCUUCUUGACCUAAUCUUGUAUCUCCACAGUGGAAUAAGCCAACUUGUGAGCACUUAAUUCACCCCUGUCUCAGUGACCAUGCCUGGUCCAGCCAUGCCAACUAAGGGGUCUUGGACUGAGUUCAAACAGAUAACACAGUCCUAGCAUUCAAAAUGUUCAAGAAAUACAGAUGAAAUCAAGCGAAUGGGAGCAAAUACAAUGGACUUCUCAUCAACAAUUCUGGCAUCCUAGGGACUAGUCCACAGCUCUGCAAGUCUCCGGUCCAGAGGCUUGACUGCAUGUUUUACAAUGUGGAUCAUUUAAAUUUCUCUUCGUUGUAAAUUUUCUUUGAUUGCCAUCUUUGCCUGGCCCAACAGCAUCUGGAAGUUGCCCGUUACCCUGUAUAUGAGGACCUGAGGUGUUCCCCUUCCAGCCCGUGUACCCACAAGGGGCCCAUCCCUGUCCUCUCCAGGAGGGUGAGGGAGGACCAGCCCCUUCACCUCAGUGAGGGCCCCUUGGCAAGUUGUUUUAGCUCCAUGUAUCACACAAGAGGGUUGAGGCCCGAAUGGAGCGAAGUGGGCUGGCUGAGCAGGAACAGCUUUUCCAGACCACCUGUCAAAGAAGAGGGACGAAAGAGUCAAGGGAAGUGGGGAGGCGCUCAAACCACAGGCUUUGGCCACACAGCAGGGAACCUUGUGGCAGAGACUGCCCUUAAAGGCCUGAGCUUGGUCUAACGGGCCCUGGUGAUCCAAGAUGGGAGCCCGAACACAGCCAACAUAGUGCCAGGAAAAGAGCUCCUCACUUGGAAGAUUCCCCAGCAAACCAGAAGGCAAACACAUGCCUUCACAGUGUUUUCUUCUCAUGCAUUUCCCUGCCUGGGAUAGUUCAAGUUUGUUUUGUUUUGUUUUUCUCCUUUGUGCUCCUGACCACCUCUGAUCUGGUAUUUAUUCCAAGGAAAUUUCAAAAUAAAAAUAUGCCUGUCCUCAUUUGUCUUCCUGUUCUGAGGUAUAGUGAUUGUCCCCAUAAGCCAGACAGUUUUAAUGUAGCAGAAACAAUUAGAACUGUUGCUGUGAUAUUAGAUGCUGGAGGAGAGGGCAGAGUUGGGGCAGGUGGAUUUGGCCAAUAAAAUACAGAUGGAAAACAAGAAACUGGAGAGAAGGUUCCCAGCAUUGCCCCAUGCUGCAGUCCCAGGGUGCUUCAUGGAGCACCUAACCAGGCCUCCUUCACUCCAGAUGUUGCUCACAUUUUGGACUUUCUUGCUCCCUGUUGCAAGACUCCCUUUGACCACACCAGUGCUGCCCCCCACGGAUAGGACAUAGCUACAGCUAAAGCUCAUUCCUGUUCCUAGGCCACCACACUCUUUCUGCUGAGACCACUGGUCAGGCUUGUGGCUACAACAGCAUCACAUUUGAGGGCGUGUGACCCCUGUUACUCGUCAUUCACAUUUGAAGGCGAUCCAGGAGACAGUUCCCUCCACAGAGGAUAAAACAUCUACCAACCAUCCUGAAGAAUGUGUGAUAAUGCACUGCAGCAGGUUUUCUGUUUAUUUCUUUGAUCCAUGGAUGAUACUUUCCAAUCCGCCUAUGAGUCGAGUUCCAGAUCAUCUUCCUGGAGCACAUCUCUGAGAAUGCCAUUCAAGCUACUUGUGUAUUUCCUUUUUGGCCUUUGCUUCAUGAUAGUUCCUUGGCCUUGGGUGGCUUUCCCUUUGUGUUUUCAGUCACUAUUCAUACUUUGAGGUCUAUUUCUAAUUCCAGGUUCUCCACCAUAAAGUCUUUCCUGAGGACAUUAUGGGCAAGAUCCUAUUCUGUAGAACUGGCAUUGUCUGGGUUUGAACUCCAAAUUAUUCAUUUGAAAGCUGUGGGGCUUAAAGCUAUUUGUUUAAUUUUUUUCUCAGUUGCCAUAUCUGCAAAGUGGGAAUAAUAUCAGUAUCCAUUUCAGAGGACUGUAGAGAAUAUUGAAUGAGUUAGAACAUGUGAAGUACUUCAAAGGGCCAAGUGCUCAAUAUCAUCUUCUCUAUACAAUCAUGGUGAUUUUUACUUUCAAAAUAAUUUUAGCACUUGCCUUAAUUCCUUGAAUAAACAGUUUUCAAGGCCACAUGUGGUAGGCAUUCUGCUACACAUUGGGAAGAAAAUCGCAAGAGUCUAGGAUGCUGUGUUUUCAGUGUUGUAUGUUUGUUUCCUGUCCCUGCUCUCAGGCUGUGAAGUCUAUGAAGGUAGGAACAUUCAUUCUUUUCUGAAGAUAAAUAUCGCUCAGUGAAUGCACUCUGGGUUGAGUUAAAUUUGUAUAUGGGUCAAAAAUCCACCAUGGGGAUAGACCCUGUUGGAUAUCUAUUUUACUGUUUGUUAAUGCUUGGUCUCAUAAAAGAUAUAUACAUGUUUAUUAUUGUUACUUAAUAAGUUAGUAUUACUUGCAACUCACAGUUCAAGAAAAUAGUGUAUAGAAUAUAAGAGAGAAUGUAACAGAACAGAACAUGAAAGAAUAAUGUAUCAAUAACAUAGCCACCACCACUGCUAUCAUCAAAUCCCAUCCUGUGUUCUGCCACCAUAAUUGCCACCAUCACCAUCACCACCACUACCACCGUAACUAUCACGACCACAUAUGAGGUACUACAAAAGGUUUAUAGAAAAUGGAAUUAAAAGAUGAUAAGUUUAUUUUGGUACU